Molecule: transfer RNA, 74 nt
Filed under: Marmota monax (woodchuck)
Lineage: Eukaryota; Metazoa; Chordata; Mammalia; Rodentia; Sciuridae
Description: tRNA.Ala
Source: RNAcentral
CUGGGGUUGUGGCUCAGUGGUAGGGCACUUGCCUAGCACAUGCAAGGGCCUGGAUUCGAUCCUCAGACCACAUA